AUCCCAAAAAAGUCGAAACAAAUUUUGACUUUGAACAAUCCCUCAAGCAAUGAAGGAUAGUCUCAGAGUGAGCUCAACAUCUAAGACAGAAAUCCGACUUAGCCCGUUGAAGUUAGUAUCGAAGAGCAGCGGUAGGAAGAGCAUUUUGAGCUCCCAACCAGAAAAUGAGUUUUUCCGAAAUAUGCAGCUUCCAAAGCCACCUCCAAUCCUUUCUAGCAUCCCAAUUUAUCAAUUUAUUCAAAAGCCCAAUAUAACUAUUUUUUUGCAGUAUACGCUCCCUUGAUCUAUCUCCAACCAGGAUCUAUCUCCAACCAGACUCAAAUUCAACAUCCAAAGACACCCCAUGCAGGCAUUGAGUUAUAUAUUUUAGAGGUGGAGUCCUAGCGGCGAACAGGGAGGCGAAAGAGAAGCUCGCCGUCGUGUUAGUCCGGUGAAGAGGAGGCUGUUGGUGGCUGGCGGUUAGGGAACUAAUGACAGAGGGAGAGAGAGCUUCGCGGAGGUGGUGGGUCUCGCACAGAGCCAAGGAGAACCGGCGGCGAUGUGGUUGGAGGUUAGGUUCUGGGCUCGGCGGAGGUGAGGUGCGGCGAUGGUGAAAUCGCGGAGGUGAGGCGUCGAAACAGUGAAGGUGUGGAGGCGCGUUGGGUGGUCCGCGAAGGUUCGGUGGUUCUGGGCGGCGCUAGGGUACGGACAGGGGAAAGAUGUAGAGGCGAAAGAAGAAGAAAGAGAGAGAUGUGGUGGCUCUGUGUCGGUUGUGGGUACAGACGCCGGCUGCGGUGGUGAUGAUUGGAGGCUGAGGCGAGGCUAGGGUUCGGACAGGAGGGGAAGAAGACGGAGGCUGGACGCGAGCUAGAGGUGAUAUCGCGAAGAGGAGGGUCACGGUGGCUCGGCCAGUAAGAGCGAGGGAGGAGAAGGUGGCCGCCGCUGGUUGGUUGGUUUGGGCCUGCGCCUGGGCCUGGUUAUGAUCUGUUUUUUCUGCAUAUGAUGUUUCCGUGGUUUCGUGUUUGUGGAGGCUGAAAUUGAAGGACCUGACUCGUUCCAAAAGCGAGGAUGUUCGAACGAGUUGAGGCUGAGUGAACUCGCCGGUUCGGCAGUACUCGGCGUUGUGUCGUAGGUGUAUUGAUGAGUGAGUCUAAAGGAUCUGACUCGUUGCAGGAGGGAGGGUGAGCGAGUGAAAGGGUGUUGGAGUUCAUGUUCUUGAAUUCGGUUGUUGUGGGAGGAGGUGAAGCGGGAGGUGAUGGCAAUGGUGCCAAUGACGAGGUUGACAAAGAUGAAGAGGGAAGAAGGUGUUAACCAGCUGGCUAUGAGAAGCGUCAUUGAAGCUGUUGGUACUGCCAUAGAGAGCUUGUUAAUUUGGGAUCAGGACAAAGAGUUCUGAUUUGGGGACAAAAUGAAAUCAAUUUCCACCUAGGCUAACAAAUUAAUUAAUUAGAAAUUACAACUCAAUUAAAACAUGAUUUGUCAGCAUAAUCCGGUGUCCAGGUAAGCAUUGUCCUCACCGGAGUUUUGGUCCGGCAAGCUUAUGGACGCGCUUGUCAGUUUUUAAAAUUAACCAAGUACCAUUUUGUCGAUUACAAUAGUCAGGUACCGCAAUGUCAGCGUUUUAAUCUUUCGGGUACUGAUUUGGUCA
Molecule: non-coding RNA, 1627 nt
Organism: Arachis ipaensis
Lineage: Eukaryota; Viridiplantae; Streptophyta; Magnoliopsida; Fabales; Fabaceae
Source: RefSeq, a predicted model, not a curated record